Scatophagus argus is the source of this 859-nucleotide long non-coding RNA. RefSeq lists it as uncharacterized. The record is from RefSeq and is a predicted model, not a curated record. The transcript is spliced from 3 exons. Lineage: Eukaryota; Metazoa; Chordata; Actinopteri; Scatophagidae.
AGCUCACAUCAAAGACCUGUCUGCUCGUCUUGCAAGGAAAGCUGCAAACCCGGGAAAAUGGUGGAAGGACGUGGUCAAGGUCAUGGGGAUCACUGCAGGUUUUCUGGCCGCCUUGGUUUUACUGAUCCUCAUCCCAUAAAGCAGCACACCAACAGCUGCGGGUGGAGGAGGUUCAUCGUCAGAGGAACCAGGACCAGAGAUCAAGAACCACACCAACCCUGACCCUGUUCCUGUGGGUUUUCUCCGGGGGCUCCGGUUCACCCACACAAUGAAAUUUAACAGAUAUUAUAAAAAAUCCCAAAGCAAAUGUAAACAGACAUGGACUAAAGUAACUACAAAAGCGCAAACCGAAAAGGCGGUAACAACAAGGAGAACAAGAAGCGGCAACCAAGUUUAAAAGUGAACAAUAUGAAGAAAACAGCUUCAGCUGAAAGGUAUGUUAUCGCAUACAGUUUGGAGAAUAUGUUUUGUCAAGCCUGAUGCACAUUAUUAUUAUUAUUAUUGUAAUUAUUGUCAUUUGCUACUGUUUGAGUUAGCUUAACACGUUUCUUCCGUUGUGUAUUCUGUACCCAGGUUUAUGACGUCAUUACAAAGUCACGAGUCAGCGGAGACCAGAGGCCCGUUUCAUGAAGCAGGUUAUGUGGAAACCCUGCACAUGUUGAGCCUGAAAUCAGCGACACCCUGAGUUAACCCUUUCAAUAAGGGAGAUCAUUGGUGAUGCAGCUCACAUCAUCACACAUGUGGAAGCCAAGUGGCCUGGGUCUGAGCAGGACUCCUGCAUAUAUCGAGGGUCUACUCUGAGCCGCAGACUGGACUGUGGAGACAUUGAAGGCUUCCUUCUGGGUGACAGGAGUUACCC